Molecule: long non-coding RNA, 737 nt
Organism: Nicotiana attenuata
Lineage: Eukaryota; Viridiplantae; Streptophyta; Magnoliopsida; Solanales; Solanaceae
Exons: 3
Source: RefSeq, a predicted model, not a curated record
UUCAGCCUCAAAUAGCCAAGGACUAACUUUGAACUCUUUGCAGGUACCCAGAGCCUAGACUCUGACACAACUAGAUCACCGUCUGUUCCGCCAAUCAGAGUGCUUUGCAUAUAUCAAACUGUCUGCUCCGCUAAUUGGAGCACAUUGUACAUAUCAAACCGUCUGCUUUGUACAGAUCACAUUGUCCCCUCUGCCAAUUAGAUCACCUUGCAUUUUACAUUUUUACUUGGUUCAAAUUCAAAUACUCCCAUCGCAUGGAGAUUCAAAUUCAAAGCAAAAAAUUUCAAUCAUGCGGAGAUUCAAAUUCGAAGUCGAAUGUUCCCAUAGCGAGGAAAUUCAAAGUCGUUGCGUGGACAUUUGAACGCUCCGACAAGUCGCCCACUUCUUAAAUGGCUAUGAACUAUCUCUAUGUGGUUUGCUGCCUCGAAGAAGUUGAGCUUGCUGAGUUUAUUGAAACUCAGGACCAGGUUCAGAAAACCAGGCUGCUUCUUGGUCAUCUGCUGAAAUCUGCUGCUGCUUAAAGUCUAUCUGGGCAUGGCUGCUUUGGUCAGCCCAAUAGAAGAGUCUAACUUUCUCCCCUUUACCUAAAUAAUUAUUGUUGUUAUGGUUUGCUCUUCUGUACAUAUAUCCUUGAGACAACUAACACUAGUAAUGGAUAUUCUUAGGUAUCUUGAAUGUUUAGGCAGAUUUUAGGUAAAUCAAAAUCUAAUAGACAAAAAGGUAAUUGUAACUUCAAA